UCUCGGCUUAUCACCGGCAGUCCCCUUAGAGUGCCCAACCAAAUGAUGGCAACUAAGGGCGAGGGUUGCGCUCGUUGCGGGACUUAACCCAACAUCUCACGACACGAGCUGACGACGGCCAUGCAUCACCUGUCACCGAGUUCCUUACGGCACAAUUUCCUUUCGGAAACCUUCUCGGGAUGUCAAACCUGGGUAAGGUUCUUCGCUUACCAUCGAAUUAAACAACACGCUCCACCGCUUGUGCGGGUCCCCGUCAAUUCCUUUAUGUUUUAAGCUUGCGCUCGUACUCCACAGGCGGGAUGCUUAACGCGUUAGCUUCGCUACAAGAAGGGUCGAUACUCCUUACAGCUAGCGCCCAACGUUUACAGCGUGGACUAC
This 378-nucleotide unclassified non-coding RNA is filed under the name uncultured bacterium. RNAcentral's name for it is "contains 16S-23S intergenic spacer region". The record is from RNAcentral.